GUAGGAUUGUUCGAUUUGUUACUUCUACUUCAUCAUUAGAUUGUGAAUGGCCGACUGAUGUGAGCUUGUGCGUAAUAUAAAAUUUUAUAUAAAAUUUUUUAAAAUUUUGAUUGUCGAAUUGUUGACCAUUAUCGAUGAUAAUAGUGUGUGGUAGAUCGAAUCUAUAUAUGAUUGACUUCUGAAUGAAGUCUUCCAUCUUAGUUUUAGUGAUUUAUGCCA
This 219-nucleotide long non-coding RNA is filed under the name Elaeis guineensis (African oil palm). RNAcentral describes it as "long non-coding RNA (EGUI_LNC074766)". Lineage: Eukaryota; Viridiplantae; Streptophyta; Magnoliopsida; Arecales; Arecaceae. The record is from RNAcentral.